Molecule: long non-coding RNA, 387 nt
Organism: Pimephales promelas (fathead minnow)
Lineage: Eukaryota; Metazoa; Chordata; Actinopteri; Cypriniformes; Leuciscidae
Source: RefSeq, a predicted model, not a curated record
UUGAGUGGCAGCAGAUGAGAUGCCAGAGGAUUCUGGAGCAUUUUCCUGUUCUAAUCGCCGGACCACCGAAAAUAGGGCUUUUCACAAACAUGUUGCUCACUAAUGUAGUAGCUCGGUGGCCUGGGUCAACCCAUGACUCAUUCAUUUUAAGACACAGCAGUGAUGGGCGCAGACUCGAGGCUGGUGCUGUGCGUGAUGGCUGGCUUCUAGGGGACAGUGGAUAUCCUGAUGCUGCUGCUGUGCGCCAGCGAUUGGAAGUGAUGUGUCGGUUGUAAAGAACAACAAAAGGACUGCAUCGGUGAGGACACGUCCGCUGCUGGAGGGUUGAGAGCCGCGUGCCGUGGAGACGCUGGGCACAGACGGCUGCUCAGCUGCAGCCUCUGAAAC